Molecule: ribosomal RNA, 487 nt
Filed under: Vibrio cholerae
Lineage: Bacteria; Pseudomonadati; Pseudomonadota; Gammaproteobacteria; Vibrionales; Vibrionaceae
Description: bacterial SSU rRNA
Rfam family: Bacterial small subunit ribosomal RNA
Source: RNAcentral
UUAAUUGAAGAGUUUGAUCAUGGCUCAGAUUGAACGCUGGCGGCAGGCCUAACACAUGCAAGUCGAGCGGCAGCACAGAGGAACUUGUUCCUUGGGUGGCGAGCGGCGGACGGGUGAGUAAUGCCUGGGAAAUUGCCCGGUAGAGGGGGAUAACCAUUGGAAACGAUGGCUAAUACCGCAUAACCUCGCAAGAGCAAAGCAGGGGACCUUCGGGCCUUGUGCUACCGGAUAUGCCCAGGUGGGAUUAGCUAGUUGGUGAGGUAAGGGCUCACCAAGGCGACGAUCACUAGCUGGUCUGAGAGGAUGAUCAGCCACACUGGAACUGAGACACGGUCCAGACUCCUACGGGAGGCAGCAGUGGGGAAUAUUGCACAAUGGGCGCAAGACUGAUGCAGCCAUGCCGCGUGUAUGAAGAAGGCCUUCGGGUUGUAAAGUACUUUCAGUAGGGAGGAAGGUGGUUAAGCUAAUACCUUAAUCAUUUGACGUU